Long non-coding RNA from Manis javanica (Malayan pangolin), 3600 nucleotides. RefSeq lists it as uncharacterized. The record is from RefSeq and is a predicted model, not a curated record. NCBI's taxonomy places the organism in Eukaryota, Metazoa, Chordata, Mammalia, Pholidota, Manidae.
AGUUUGCUGCCUUUUUGCUCUCUGCCUUGUGAGGAUACACGGAGAAGAUGGUCAUGUGCAAACCAAGAAGAGGCCCCCCGACCAGACACCGGAUCUGCCAGCACCUUGAUCUUGGACCUUCCGGUCUCUGGAACUGUGAGAAAUAAAUGUCUGUUGUUUAAGCCUCCCAACCUAUGGUAAUUUGUUAUUGCAACCUGAAAUGAUAAAGACACCAAGCUAAGUCCUAAGAGAUUCGGCACACAGGGACCCCAGGCUAAUAGCUGAAGCUCUGCUUGGGCCUGAGCUGCUUCCUUGGACCUCUUUCUACUUUUCUACUGAUAAACUGGCUUGGGCAACACCAACAGCGACCAGUGGAAACCAGCAUUCCAGGAGCUAUGCCAGGCAAUCGGAAAACAAAGAUUAGUAAUAUAAUACUCCAUGGUUGUGAGACACUCACCAGACCCCCAUUCUAAAGAAGUACAGGUGGAUGACAUCAGGACUUUUGAGGUUGGUCACAGGCACCAAAGUGUUCGGUAAAGCCAGGCACCCUUGAGGCUUGCGGAUGGGUGCCGAGUGGGGAGCCUGUGAGCAUCACUGCGACGCUGACCCGUUCCCCCUCCUCUCACUGCUCGGGCUGCCAGCUCUGACCAAGCGCGUUCUGCUGGCUGCGUACUGUGCGCUCCGGCUUUACGUGGAUGAUUCUUUGAAUCAUCACAGCCACUCUGGGAGGAAAUACAACCACUGUUCUACAGAUGAGGAAAUUGAAGCUUAGAGAGAUAAAGUAACCUGUUCCAGCCAGCACGGUAUAGCCAGGAUAGGGAUCCCAGCAGCCCGACUCCAGAACUCUGUUUUUAACUGUGACGUUGCAGUUUAUAAAAUGAUAAGAGUUCACAAGUUUAAGAAAGGAUAGAUAGCUAAAGCUAAAGGAGCAGGCUGCCUCCUGCCAUCUAUGCAAUUGGGAGGCUCUGACGUGGUAGAGGGAGAAAACUGGAAGACACGUCCAUUUGAACAGGGAGCAUGAGAGCCCAUUGAUUUGAGUUGGCCUUGGCCGAGGGCUGUGUUGUAAGGCCCAUGGCGGCUGUGCUUUAUGAACUAUAAAAACAGCCAAUACUCUGCUGCUCACCAGCCCCUGCCUCCCAGAUGCUUGAAGGUAAUUUUCAUUACUCCAGGACCACAGGAACUAUCACUACAAGGAGGGGGGGAAGACAUGCCCUGGCCAGGUGUGAUUCUUCCUCUUCCGAUGUUUUCUCCUUUCCUUGGAAGCUGAGAGAAUCUCUGCCAGGUCUCUGUCCUCAGCUCUUGUGCAUCUGGGCCAACUGAAAGGGGCCAUGCUAACACACAGCCUUUAUGGCUACGGGAGACUGGGUCAGGGAUCCGGCCGCCCAGGCCCGUCAGUACAGACAGAAAAGCAACGGCCUUUGUGUUUGCUCUUCUGUUUGCCGCUUCUUGUUAUCCAGCACUCAGUAUAAAUGUUACCUCCUCCUCCAGGCUUUCUCCGAGCAGCCGAUCUUACACAUGCCCCUCCAAUGUCAUCUCAACUAUCUAAUUUCUUUCAGAGAAAGCACUUCUACUCUCUGAAGUCACUAGUAUUAAUCGCUAUAAUGAUAUAUCACUAGUUACGAUGUAUACUACUUACACCAUGAGUCAUAAUAAUAUAACUCAUUGUAUAUAAUGACAUUACUAAUGAUUACUAGUUCUUACUAGUUCUUACUCAUUCUUUCAGGAAGGAAUCUUUUCUCUUGUUCAACACCAUGUCCUCAGCUUCUUGCCUGGCAUACAGAGGGUAGUCAUCAAUUUGGUCAGAUGGAGAAAUGAUGAAUUGCAUUAUUUUCUUUGAAUAGGACUAGCAAAAACUGCCUGUAAAAUACGAGAGUGGACAGUUUAGACAGAAAGUUUGAGUAAACAUUUGCCUUUACAAUGUAGUCCAGAAAGUGGAAAGUUUCUUUCCUCCAACUGACUAAGAGGUGUGCUGUUAGGUAUGGCUAGUCAACUUUCUUUUAUUACUUCUGAGCAAGGGACUCUGCAUUCUUUCCACCUGCUCCCCAUUCUGCCAAAGAAAAAAUGAAAAACUCCUUCUGAGCUAGUGGUUCUGUUUUCUGCAGUUGUCUUGAACUUUCUUUGUGUUAUGUGUAUGCACGGGCAUGGACACACACAUGCUCUGCCAUCCAAGAUGCUCUCCGUGCUAGGGGGUGCUUCCAUCUGUCCUACUGCACAGUGAGCCUCAUGGAAGAAUGUUAGUAACAUGAGCCAGAUGCCGGUCAAGGGGGGGCAUGAACAUUGCCAGGUGACCCCUUACCAGUACGGGCUCCUAGUGCUUGCUUGCCAGACACCACCCAGUCAUGAGGAAAAUGCAGAUGUCAAACCAGAAGAACAAAAAUAAGAUAAACUUCCUUUUGCACCACAGAAUGAAGUUCAUGGUACAAUUUAGUGGCAUUUUCCCCUGUCUCCAUUGCUAGUGCUACCAGGGGAACUAACCCAUGAAGAAACACCAGGUUUCAGGCUUCCAACUGGUGCGUCAGAUAAACCAUCCAUUAUUCACUGUGGACCUGCUGUGCUCAGCUUCAAUGUUAGUUGCUAUAGGGGAUACGGGUGACAUGGACUUGUAUUCUAGGAUUUUAUAUUCUGAGAGGGGAUAUUCCAACUCUAUUUAACAGAAUAUAAUUUAGUCUAAGUUGACUUUCAGGAAACAUUGUAUUGUUAAAGCAUCAUUUCAGGUUUGUAAAUCUUAUGUCCGAAAAAAGAUUGUAAAUAUCAUGUUUAGUGUGAUGUAUGCCUAUAUUUUUAGUGAUAGCAACUUCUAUAGAACUGGAUACAUAACCAAUACUUAUGGGAAAAAAUGGUGGUUUGAAUGUUAUGGAGCCCUGCAGAAGCUGGUCUAGUUUGCUAUUUUGCUAAUUGAAAGGAACAGGAGGUGAGACAAAAUUUCUGUUCUAAUCCCAGGGCACAUUUCAAGAGAUAGAGUCAUAUGAACCAUCCCCAGAAGCACCGCUGAAUUGCUGGACAUUGGCUUUGAACAGACCCAGAAAGUUUCAAGGGGUCCGUCGAAAACUGUCCAAGUCACAUCUGUGAGACCAAAUAGUGCUUUGACACUUGGUAUCCUGGGCUCUCUAAUUAGUUAUACUAUUGCCAAACUCCCAGGAGCCCUAGCUCCGUCAGAGGCCUGGGAAGCUCUGCAUGGCCUCAGCACCAUUGUCUGCCUGCUUUUGUUGUUGGAAUGUCUGCUCUUUUACUGAGUUUAAGUUUGCCCUUCUGUUGUUCAAUUCCCUUUUCUGACCAGCUGCCCUGAACCUCAUUCAAAGGCCAUGUGCGUGUUUUUGAAACUUGGCCAUUUAAUUCACAGGAGAGCCUUGGGAAACUUUUAGGUUUCAGUUUGUGCAGGGUCACAUUGCUUUGAGUUGCAGCUUCCAAUUGAUGUUAUAAAAGACUCAAAAAGGGACUCCAGCUGCACCUUCUGAGUUUCACCAGGUGUGUUAGCAGAAGCCAGCAAGAAAAGGAAGCAGACGGGUUGGAAUCAUAUAGCAGUAUUUCAAAAGGAUUUGCUGUACCUGUUAUAUGGUAUUUUGUAGAUGGUUAUUACUGUUCAUCACAAUAAACUGAAAAUAUAAGAAGAGAAGAAUAAAA